UACACUUCCCACUGCGUGUGUUCUUCGUCCAAGCCUAUCUAAUUCGCAGAAAUUGAUCAAUCAACCCAACAAGUGCGAGAAUUGAGAAGAUACCGAUCGCGAUUAGAGGCGAAAUUGCGCGCAGGAUUCGAACCGCAGCUGUUUACAGUGAUGCAGAUGAGAGCGGCUUGCAUCUCUAGUCGUCUGAUGAAUCCGUUUCGCAUUGGAACCCCCGCCGGCUCGGCUCGGCUCGGCUCGGCUCGGCUACUUGAGCGCUCAGCCCGAUCGAUGCAGCAAUUCGCAUGCAUGGUGACGACCCGCGAUCCAGGUCUUUGGUGUUGAUCUGCCCGGCUUCAGACGAGUAGGUUUUUGUAGUAUGUGGAGGCUCUCGGAUUUGAGAAGGUUUGCGGAAAAGAUGAUUGAUGAAAGAAUUAUAAUCAACGAGUCAACAAAACGAAGGUGAAGAAUUGUUUCUAUGAGGGGAAAAGUUCGGGUGAAAUCUAUGACCAGAUUUCAAGAAAGUGAAAAGUUCGCGUGAUAUCCGUUUUUCUCCCUUCAGUUUCUUUUCUGUUCAAAUUGCUCUUCCGAUUUUUGUUUAAAUUAGGUUCGAUUUCGGAUGUUAAAUAGUUCUAAAACAAGAGAUUAAUUUCUAACUUACAAUGGUUUGUUAGCCAACCGUGGAUUUGGGCACGGUAUUUAAACUUUAGUUUUGCAGAGUACGUAAUUGAAACGGACGACUUUAUCAUCCCUGCUUAGAGGUUCAAAUUAGCAAAUACUGCAUGAAUCGGUGCAUUUAUCGGUGAACUGUUGUGCGAUAUACCGAAAUUAGCCUUCGGCUUUUCAUCUCCUCUUUUUGCAGCAAUUCCUCCGAAGAUGUUACCAUGUGUUUGUCUUUGUACAAGGGAAGAUCAAAGUGCUAUAAGGAGUUCUAAGUGCGGAAUCUCACAAGCCUGUAUCAGUAAGUUGAUUGAUUUUUUUUUUUUCGCAAUCUGCCUUUGUACAUUAGUUUACAUCCUCAUUUGAGCCGACUAGCUAAUCUUAAUCACUUUGCUCGUGUCGAGGGAUUUUCUAGUUGUGGUUCGUAGGACUUAGUUUUCAUGUUUUACUUCUGUCACCUCCAUCUCUAACAAAGUCUCCAAAUCCUUGUAACUACAUAUGUAAACGAGACUCACUGUCGGAAUUCUUAGACAUGUGCAAUAAUUAUUCACUUUCUUCUUCA
Molecule: non-coding RNA, 1198 nt
Organism: Erythranthe guttata (spotted monkey flower)
Lineage: Eukaryota; Viridiplantae; Streptophyta; Magnoliopsida; Lamiales; Phrymaceae
Source: RefSeq, a predicted model, not a curated record